GACGAACGCUGGCUGUGUGCUUAACACAUGCAAGUCGAACGGAAAGGCCCUGCUUUUGUGGGGUGCUCGAGUGGCGAACGGGUGAGUAACACGUGAGUAACCUGCCCUUGACUUUGGGAUAACUUCAGGAAACUGGGGCUAAUACCGGAUAGGAGCUCCUGCUGCAUGGUGGGGGUUGGAAAGUUUCGGCGGUUGGGGAUGGACUCGCGGCUUAUCAGCUUGUUGGUGGGGUAGUGGCUUACCAAGGCUUUGACGGGUAGCCGGCCUGAGAGGGUGACCGGCCACAUUGGGACUGAGAUACGGCCCAGACUCCUACGGGAGGCAGCAGUGGGGAAUAUUGCACAAUGGGCGGAAGCCUGAUGCAGCAACGCCGCGUGCGGGAUGACGGCCUUCGGGUUGUAAACCGCUUUCGCCUGUGACGAAGCGUGAGUGACGGUAAUGGGUAAAGAAGCACCGGCUAACUACGUGCCAGCAGCCGCGGUGAUACGUAGGGUGCGAGCGUUGUCCGGAUUUAUUGGGCGUAAAGGGCUCGUAGGUGGUUGAUCGCGUCGGAAGUGUAAUCUUGGGGCUUAACCCUGAGCGUGCUUUCGAUACGGGUUGACUUGAGGAAGGUAGGGGAGAAUGGAAUUCCUGGUGGAGCGGUGGAAUGCGCAGAUAUCAGGAGGAACACCAGUGGCGAAGGCGGUUCUCUGGGCCUUUCCUGACGCUGAGGAGCGAAAGCGUGGGGAGCGAACAGGCUUAGAUACCCUGGUAGUCCACGCUGUAAACGGUGGGUACUAGGUGUGGGGUCCAUUCCACGGGUUCCGUGCCGUAGCUAACGCUUUAAGUACCCCGCCUGGGGAGUACGGCCGCAAGGCUAAAACUCAAAGGAAUUGACGGGGCCCCGCACAAGCGGCGGAGCAUGCGGAUUAAUUCGAUGCAACGCGUAGAACCUUACCUGGGUUUGACAUGGAUCGGGAGUGCUCAGAGAUGGGUGUGCCUCUUUUGGGGUCGGUUCACAGGUGGUGCAUGGCUGUCGUCAGCUCGUGUCGUGAGAUGUUGGGUUAAGUCCCGCAACGAGCGCAACCCUUGUUCACUGUUGCCAGCACGUUAUGGUGGGGACUCAGUGGAGACCGCCGGGGUCAACUCGGAGGAAGGUGGGGAUGACGUCAAGUCAUCAUGCCCCUUAUGUCCAGGGCUUCACGCAUGCUACAAUGGCUGGUACAGAGAGUGGCGAGCCUGUGAGGGUGAGCGAAUCUCGGAAAGCCGGUCUCAGUUCGGAUUGGGGUCUGCAACUCGACCUCAUGAAGUCGGAGUCGCUAGUAAUCGCAGAUCAGCAACGCUGCGGUGAAUACGUUCCCGGG
This 1343-nucleotide ribosomal RNA is filed under the name uncultured bacterium. Its description in RNAcentral is "16S ribosomal RNA". It matches the Rfam family "Bacterial small subunit ribosomal RNA", at positions 28 to 1378 of the family's 1533-position model. The record is from RNAcentral.